GAAAAGACCCGAAGCUUCCUCUGGCGAUAAAGAGAGAAGCAAGUGACGGUGGCCGGCAGAGCUCCGACGCGGUGGCGGAAGACGUUGACGCAGAAGAGAAAAAUGAAGAUCGUGAUGAGAUUGGUAAGAAAAGUUUAAUCUUUUAUUGUAAUGAUGUAAAUUCGAAAUGAGCAUCUGUAUCUGAUUUUCGUAAUGGGGAAAGGGAAAGGAACUCCAUAUAAAUAGAGUUCCAAAAAGGGGGAAAACAAAAAACUGAAAAACAAAAACAAACAAACAGAAAAACACUGUCCUAACACGACAAUGAAGAGAAUCGAACGAUUCUCAACACCCUCCCUUCAAGCUGGACGGUGUAUAUUGACCAGUCCAAGCUUGGGAACAAUGUCUUUGAAGCAAACGCGAUGCGGGAAUUUGGUGAAGACGUCGGCCAGCUGUUCGUCAGAUCGCACUAGGAGAAGAUGCAGAAGUCCUUCUUAGAAUUUUUCACGAACAACGUGACAGUCAAGCUCGGUAUGCUUGGUCCGUUCGUGGAAGCUCUGGUUAUGAGCAAUGUGACGAGCAGAUUUGUUGUCGCAGUAUAGAACAGGGAUUCUAGAUUCUUCAAUUUGAAGAUCUUGUAAUAGGCAGUGGAGCCACUGUAUUUCACAUACAGUGGCAGCUAGGGCUCUGUACUCAGCUUCAGUAGAUGAUCUGGAAACAAUUCUCUGCUUUUUAGACUUCCAGGAAAUGAGAGAUGUCCCGAGAAAGAUACAAAAUCCUGUAGUGGACCUUCUGGUAUUGGGACAGGUAGCCCAAUCUGAGUCACUAAAGCCUUUUAAAUGCAUAGAAGAAUCAGCAGAGAAAAAUAGCCCUUCACUUGGUGUAGAUUUUAUGUAUCUAAGCACAUGUUGAACAACCCGAUAGUGAUGUUCUGUAGGUGACUGCAUAAAUUGGCUAAGUAAGUUAAUAGUGUAACAUAGGUCAAGUCUAGUAUUUGUAAGGUAAAGUAACUUCCCUAUUAAUCUUCUGUAAGGUCCAGGAUCAUCAAGAUAACUAUCCAAUUUGUAUAAAGGGCUUGUGUCCCUUAGGAAAGGAGUAGUAGAAGGUUUGCACCCUUCCAUUCCAAUUUCUUCAAGUAUGUCCAAGGCAUACUUUCUUUGACAUAGGUGAAUUCCUCUUUUAGAUCUGGCAACUUCCAAGCCAAGAAAAUAUUUGAGUUCUCCAAGAUUCUUUAUACGAAAUUUAUUGUGUAAGAGUUCUUUGAUGCAAUUGAUCUCUUCCAUAGAAUUUCCUGCCAACACAAUGUCAUCCACAUAUACAAGCAAAGCAGUGAAACAAGUGUCUGUUCUUUUAGUAAAUAAUGAGUGAUCAGAUUUGGAUUGUUUGUAAUCAACAGAAAUUAGAUAAGAGGACAAUUUUUCAAACCAUUGUCGGCUUGCUUGUUUCAAUCCAUAUAAGGAUUUAGUUAGUUUGCAAACCUGCCCCUCUUUGUGAAUGUCCAGUCUUGGAGGUGGUUGCAUAUAAACCUCUUCAUUGAGAUCACCAUGAAGAAACACAUUGUCAACAUCAAGUUGAUGUAAGAACCAAUUCUUAGAGGCUGCAAGAGCUAUCAAAAGUCUAACAGUAGUUAGUUUAGCAACUGGUGAAAAAGUGUCAAGGUAGUCUAUUCCCUCCUGUUGAGUAUACCCUUUUGCAACUAAACAGGCUUUAUGCCUCUCAAUGCUACCAUCGGCUUUAUACUUAGUUUUAUAUACCCACUUGCAGCCUAUAGGGGUUUUUGCUGGAGGCAACUGAGUUAGAGACCAAGUGUCAUUAUCUUGCAAUGCUUUAAUCUCCCUCUGCAUUGCCUCAACCCAUUGUCUUAUACCUUUGGCUUCAUUAUAAGUCCGAGGCUCUCUAUUUCCAGUGACAGCCAUGAUGUAAUUGGAGUGUUUCUCUGACAAAUUGUCACAACACAACAAUUUAGAAAUCGGAUAUGGAGUUUUGAAAUUAUUUUUCAUAGUUAAGGAUUGGUUCACCUGAUGAACAUAAUCUUCCAGAUAUGCAGGGGUCUUUCUGGCCCUCUCAGAUAUUCUCUGUUUAUGAUUCUCUUGGUUAUUAUCGAUGUUGACAGGAAUCUGCAACUCAUCUUCUUGAUUAAAUCCUUCUAGCCCAUCAUGUCUGUCUUCAUUAGUAGGAUAGUAGUCCUUUGAGAAAUCAAUAAAAGAUUCAUCUUCAUCUCUCUCAUUGUUUAUGCUUUGCUGGCUGUCUUGAGUAUUCUUAUAGGGAAAAACAUCUUCAUGGAAUAUCACAUUUCUACUUAUAAAAAGUUCUUUGUUGUUUAUGUCUAAAACAAUAUAACCUUUAACACCACUUUUAUAUCCUAGAAAAACUCCUUUUCUAGCUCUAGGAUCCAGUUUGUUUCUAUUGGUUUCAAGAGUAGAAGCAAAUUAAGAUCUAAGUAAGUAGGUGGAAGAUUAUAAAGCAUAUCAUGAGGGGUUUUAUUUCCAAUAGUGGGAGAAGGGAGUCUGUUUAUUAGAUAGACAACAUGUCCUACAACAUAUGACCAGUAAACCUUAGGUAUAUUAGAAUGAAAAAGAAGGUUGUGUGUCACAUUUAAAAUAUGUUGGUGUUUUCUUUCAACUACAGAGUUUUGUUCUGGAGUUUCAACACAACUUUUUUGAUGAAUGAUUCCAUGCAUAUCAUAGAAAUUGACACAAUUAAAUUUUGGCCCAUUGUCUGAUCUAACAAUUUUAAUCAUUUUGUUAAAUUGAUUUUUAACUUUGAUGACAAAAUUUUGCAAUAAGUCUCUGGUUUGUCCCUUGUUAUUCAUUAGGAAAACCCGUGUGUGUCUGCUAUAAUCGUCAACUAUGCUAAGAAAGUACCUAUGCCCAUGGACAGAAAUUGUAUUUAGGGGACCCCAAACAUCACAAUGAAUAAUCUCAAAGCAUUCAGUCGUAACAGAGGAACUUUUUGUAAAGGGUAGCUUAUGUUGUUUUGCAAAAUGACAAGUAUCACAUACAGUAUAAGUAUCAGUAUUAAUCUUGACAUAAGGAAACAUUUCACAUAUGUGUUUUACAACAUUGGGUCCAGGGUGACCUAGUCUAUGAUGCCACAAGUUAACAUCAGUCUUUUUAAACGAGAAAACCAACUUUGAAACAUCUCUUUGGUCAGUUUUAGGAAAAUCUUGCAGAUAAUAGAGUCCAUUCCAAGGUUUAGCAGAUCCAAUUGUCUUCAAUGAGUAGUUCUCCCUUAUCUGACAAUCCUUAGAGGAAAAGAUUAGGUUGUAAUUCAAGUCUUUGAUAAGACUUGGCACAUAAAUCAAAUUAAAACAAAAAUUAGGUAUAUAAAGGACAUUGAAAAUGGUAAAACUUUCAUUGAAUUUCACGGUUUCUGCAUGAUCAGCAGUGAUUAUAGUUUUAUUGAGUAGUUUUAUGGAAAUAGGUUUAAUUUUAUAGAAAACAAUAAAAUUGGUCUUGUCAUGUGUAACAUGAUCUGUUGCACCAGUCUCUAUGAUCCAGGAAGAAUUACCUGGUUUAUUCUCAGUUUCUCUCCUCUGAAUUUGAUUGAUCUUAUGAAUUGAUGGUUCUUCAGCCUUGUCUAACAUCCUCAAAAGCCUUUGCAUCUGUUCUGGUGUAAAGUGAUUGGUAUUACUAUUGUUAAUGGUCUGUUGUUGUGUCUUCAAAGUGCCUUCAGAAUCAGUGUUGUUUUGGCAAACAUUGAUAGAAUUCCAAUCAUUCCUUUUAUCUUCUUUCUUAUACCAAGGUGGGUAUCCAUGCUUAGAAUAGCACUCAUCAAUAGUGUGAUUCAUCCUGUUGCAAUAUGAACACUGUUUUCCAAAAUUUGGGUUUCUUCCCCUUCCUCUGCCUUGGCCACGAAUUCUAGUGCCACGUCCCUGAUUUCUCCAGUUCUGAUCGGGUUUCCAUUGAUUAGUUCUUUCUGCAACAUUUGCUAGAAUUCUAGUCUCAGCUGGACUUUGCUUUUCCUAUCUUUCUUGUUGCAUAAUAAGAGAGAAAACACGGUUAACGUUAGGCAAAGGAUCCAUUAAAAGAAUUUGUGUCCUAACAGUAUUGUAAGAAUCAUUCAAACCCUUCAAAAAACAAAUAACAUGUUCAACUUCUCUAUACUUCAACGAAAUCUUGGAUAAGUCACAGUUGCAUGGAGUUUCACAUGUGCAUGUGGGUAUGGGCCUUAAAGAUUCCAGUUCUUCCCACAAGAUUUUUAAGUCAGUAAAGAACUGGCUGACUCCUCGUUCUCCUUGUUUAAUUGAGUGUAUGUCCUGUAGAAGGUCUGAGAUUUUGAAAUAAUCUCCUUUGGAAAACCUCUUCUUAAGCUCGUCCCAUAAUUCUUUAGCCUCUUCCACGUAGAUAACACUUUCAGCAAUAUGUGGAGACAAGGUUUUUGUUAUCCAUGACAGAAUCAUAACGUUGUUUCUUUCCCAAGCAUCAUAGGCAGCAUCAGUUUUUUGGGGUUUCUUUAUGGACCCGUCUAUGAAUUUAAUCUUGUUUUUCGAAAGUAGUCCUCUCCUCAUGGCCCUGCUCCAAGAAGAGUAGUUAUUCUCGUUGAGAAUUUGUGUGAUUAGAGUCAAACCUGGGUUUUCUCCCGGGUGUAGGUAAAAUGGGUUGGCUGGAUUGAUGGCUUGAUCUUCUUGAUCCAUGGCAGCAAAAAGAACCCAAGAAUACAGUCCAAGAAGACACCAAGAACGGCCCAAGAAAAAAAACAGCGACGACAACGGAAGCAGAGCAGGUACUAGACCUGCUCUGAUACCAUAUUGCUUCGGACCCAACAUUGUGCACUUAUGGCCCAAUACAUGUUGGCCCGUGAACGUGAUAUAUUGGAAAACAAAAGAUAGUGUACGUGGAAGAUUUGAAGUUCAGAGCAGUGAGAAAAGAAAAGACCCGAAGCUUCCUCUGGCGAUAGAGAGAGAAGCGAGUGACGGUGGUCGGCAGAGCUCCGACGCGGUGGCGGAAGACGUUGACGCAGAAGAGAAAAAUGAAGAUCGUAAUGAGAUCGGUAAGAAAAGUUUAAUCUUUUAUUGUAAUGAUGUAAAUUCGAAAUGAACAUCUGUAUCUGAUUUUCGUAAUGGGGAAAGGGAAAGGAACUCCAUAUAAAUAGAGUUCCAAAAAGAGGGGAAACAUAAAACUAAAAAAAAAAAACAAACAAACAGAAAAACACUGUCCUAACACGAUAGUGAAGAGAAUCGAACGAUUCUCAACAAUAACAGUUCUUAAAAUAUUCUUCUUCUGCGUUUCUUGCUUCUUUUCCCUUUUCCUCUUCAUCUUAAAAGAAAAAAUGGAAAAUUGAACUUACCUUCCUUUAAAUUACACACACUCCCUUUUAUAUUACAACAUACACUCACUUAUACCUCAUUUAUAUUUUUAAUAAAAUAAAUUAAUGACAAAUAAACUUAUAUUCGUAGAUAUUAUUCAAAUUUCUUUAUGUUAACGGAGAAUACUCAUAUUAAUAAGAUAUUAGUAUCAUUAUAUCUAAAUGUUUAAAUCAAAUACAAAAUGAUGAUGAAUAUUUACAUAUUUAUCUUACUCUUAUCCUCAUAAUUUAAAAUUUGUAAAAAACACUUUAUUUUUGUUUGGUAUUCUAUUUUAAUAUUUUUGCAAUUAUAUUUAUAAUAUAAUUUUGAAAAAAGGUAUUUUGUGUGAUUUUCAUAAAAUACAUAAACAAAAUAUUUCAUAAUUUAAUUUAAUAUUUUUAUAAUUUAGUGUAAAGAAGAAAUAUAAUUUUUAUAAUAAUUUGAGAACUGAAAUCACAUUUAAUUGAUUUUUUUUUAACUUUUAUCAAUAAAAAAUAUUAAAAACCAAAGUUAAAAUUUACCAAAUUUUCAAGGACUAUCAUACAGUUUAAACCUGUAUUAUUUUUUGAUCAUGUAACUCUGUUUUCUUUAUCGAUCAGCAUGUCCAGAUAAAUAAGACAGAAGAAGGCAGAUAUUUGAAUAUAGAAAACAUGUAUUAUGAGCAAAAUGAAGGGCUGUUGAUGUGAAUAGUAUACGUGAGCAACCAAAAAUUGAAGAAAAUAAAACAAUGGAUGGAGAGAACAUGCAUAAUCAAACAAACUAUGUGGAACAGCAUCCACUCUUUUUAACAGCUGAGACAUCUUCUUUGGUUCCAAGAACAAUGGUUUCCCCUUUGGGCAAGGAUGUUGCAUGAGAUUCAUCCACUGUCUCAAGUGUUUUCCUACUCACAACAUUGUAUAUCUGACUCAGCACUUCUACAAAAGCACUGUCCACAUUCAAGGACUCAAGGGCAGAGGUUUCCAUGAAGAAUAUCUUCUCUUUUUCUGCAAAUUCUUUGGCUUCAUCAGUUGACACUGCACGCAAAUGUCGAAGAUCUGCCUUGUUUCCCA
Molecule: long non-coding RNA, 6312 nt
Filed under: Vigna radiata
Lineage: Eukaryota; Viridiplantae; Streptophyta; Magnoliopsida; Fabales; Fabaceae
Description: long non-coding RNA (VRAD_LNC018427)
Source: RNAcentral